This 281-nucleotide small RNA is filed under the name Histoplasma capsulatum. RNAcentral's name for it is "hypothetical RNA". The record is from RNAcentral. RNAcentral also lists the same sequence under 1 other name. Lineage: Eukaryota; Fungi; Ascomycota; Eurotiomycetes; Onygenales; Ajellomycetaceae.
GGCGAGUCGUCUCCCGAUCAGGCACUAUCAUCCCGGCCUGAUAGGGCAAUAAGUUUUGGGUCAGAUAAGACUCAUCUGCCACGGGCCAACUAGCAGUACAUAGAGGGGAGAAGGAAGAACGUAGCUCAAAAUCAUGGGUGAUAUAUUCAAGUUCUUUACCUACCUCAUUUACCGGCAUCAUGCCUUUGGAAUAUUUCUUCAUCCCCUCUUGAUAUGCCAGGAAUAACUCAUUCUCCUCUGGCGUCUGCGACGAGUCCCACGACGCCCCCUUUCAACCCGUC